This is a non-coding RNA of Brassica oleracea var. oleracea, 217 nucleotides long. NCBI's taxonomy places the organism in Eukaryota, Viridiplantae, Streptophyta, Magnoliopsida, Brassicales, Brassicaceae. The record is from Rfam.
ACGACCUUACUUGAACAGGAUCUGUUCUAUAGGCUCGUACCUCUGUAUCCUUGAUUUCUGAGACAAGCCUUAUACCCUGGUUGAUGAACCAUGAAUGUCCGAUCAGAGCGUGAUUAACGGCAAUGAUUGUCUCUAGAUUUAUCUGGUGCUGUAGAGGAUCGUUAGCCGGCUCGGUUCUAUCCUUGCCGGGAUGGUUGCACAGCGGUUUUUAAAUGUA